AUAAUAGUGGAUACAAAACACAUUGUGUGAAUUUAGAAGUCAAGCAGAAACCAUCUGCAGGUAAUACAUCUGAGUCUAAAGAGCUUCGCAGAGUGUAUUUGUCAGUCUUUCCAGUAUUUGUCCUUCUUCUGGUUGUUGGUGCCCUUGGGAAUGCUUAUUUCAAACAAAGAAGGGAGACUAUCAAGGAUGACAUCACUUCCCCCUGAGGAGGGCAUCUGAUAUAGCUCUGUCAUAUAGCCUGUGUCGACGAAAGGCAUUUGCUAAGAUUUAUAUCCCAAUCAAAUGAGAGGUUUUGCAAUAUUUCUGUUCUGAUUUAAUGUGACAAAUCUCUUAAUUACUCCAGACCUCAGAUUUGUAGUGAUGCACUCAUAUCUGCCAGUUAUGAUAAAACCAGUAACAUAAGGUGAAUCAGAUGGAUGAUCUGAAGAUAAUAUCUGGUUCCAGCAGGUUUUCAUGUCUUUUCUGAAAAGAUGAGCAAGUGAAUCUGUUCCCAUCUGUAACAAAAAAAAAAAAAAAAUCCUUUUGUUUUGCCUGUACUUUCUGACAUGUUUUCGAUGUUAUAAUAAUCAACUGGAGUGUUAUAUCGUUGUUACUGAACGUAUAUAAUGUGGGUUUAACAGGUAUUGGUUUUCUAACUCCUUAUUAAGUUGAUGUGAACAGGAUAUUUUUUAUUAUAAUUUUACUGAAUUUUACUUUCACUGAAGACGAAAGCGAAUGGGAAUGUUUUUUUUAAGAA
Long non-coding RNA from Cyprinodon tularosa, 736 nucleotides. RefSeq lists it as uncharacterized. The transcript is spliced from 4 exons. The record is from RefSeq and is a predicted model, not a curated record. Lineage: Eukaryota; Metazoa; Chordata; Actinopteri; Cyprinodontiformes; Cyprinodontidae.